This 211-nucleotide long non-coding RNA is filed under the name Trifolium pratense (red clover). RNAcentral describes it as "long non-coding RNA (TPRA_LNC002789)". Lineage: Eukaryota; Viridiplantae; Streptophyta; Magnoliopsida; Fabales; Fabaceae. The record is from RNAcentral.
CUGGGCUUACUACAAAUCUUCUCAGUGUAGGGCAACUACAAGAAAAGAAAGUAACUAUUGUAUUCAAAAACAAUAUGUGCAAGGGAUAUCAUGAUGAAAAGGGACUGAUAUUCUCCACUCAAAUGACUGCAAAUAGAAUGUUCUUGAUCACAGCACCAGUUAUAGUUCCAAUGUGUAUGCAAUUCUCUAAACAAGAAAAAACUCAACUGUG